Molecule: RNA transcript, 824 nt
Organism: Homo sapiens (human)
Lineage: Eukaryota; Metazoa; Chordata; Mammalia; Primates; Hominidae
Gene: CIAO2B
Gene name: cytosolic iron-sulfur assembly component 2B
Exons: 4
Source: RefSeq, marked validated
AGCGCACGCCUGCUAGGAUCAGCGGUGGUGGUUCCGCGAUGGUAGGCGGCGGCGGGGUCGGCGGCGGCCUCCUGGAGAAUGCCAACCCCCUCAUCUACCAGCGCUCUGGGGAGCGGCCUGUGACGGCAGGCGAGGAGGACGAGCAGGUUCCCGACAGCAUCGACGCACGCGAGAUCUUCGAUAUCCGCCGCUGCUGGGCGCGGGCGGGUUCCGGGGGCUUGCGGUGGGGGGAGCAGUGAUAUCGAGCAGCUGGUGGAGCCGCAUCCCAGCAGGGCGUUCCUGGCAGAGGGUUCUAAGUGGGCAAGGGCGCAGAGUCCCUUUUCCUUCACUUCCCACAUCUGAUUCGCUCCAUCAAUGACCCGGAGCAUCCACUGACGCUAGAGGAGUUGAACGUAGUAGAGCAGGUGCGGGUUCAGGUUAGCGACCCCGAGAGUACAGUGGCUGUGGCUUUCACACCAACCAUUCCGCACUGCAGCAUGGCCACCCUUAUUGGUCUGUCCAUCAAGGUCAAGCUUCUGCGCUCCCUUCCUCAGCGUUUCAAGAUGGACGUGCACAUUACUCCGGGGACCCAUGCCUCAGAGCAUGCAGUGAACAAGCAACUUGCAGAUAAGGAGCGGGUGGCAGCUGCCCUGGAGAACACCCACCUCUUGGAGGUUGUGAAUCAGUGCCUGUCAGCCCGCUCCUGAGCCUGGCCUUUGACCCCUCAGCCUGCAUACUGGUAUCCUGGUCCCAGCUCCUGCCAGGGCUGUUACCGUUGUUUUCUUGAAUCACUCACAAUGAGAAACUAACAUUUUGCUUUUUGUAAUAAAGUUAAUUUAUAUUCA